CCAAACUAACCGGCCAAAUUCAUCACCUUCCAUUUUAAAGGAGGGUGGUCCCGUUACAUAAGGAGUCAGUGGAAAGAUAGAUUUUUAUCUCAACUCGAAUCAACCUGGUAACUUUGUUAAAUCAGUGUUAGCCGUCAAUACGUGCAUGUACACUGAGGAGAAGAACAGUGAGAUGAAUUUCAGAUUAGCCAUGUCACUAUCAAAUGUAGAAGCAGGGCAGAGAUAUUGAAAAACCUAGUGGACAUGAUGCUCCAUCCUGCUGUUCUGUCUGACCCGGUGUCGUGCCGUUGGUUGAUGGAUGAUGGCUGACAGCAGACGCAGACAGCGUGUCAAAGCUUGUGUGUCGGGAGACAGAAGAGCCAGGAACCAGUCAGACUGAAGGUUGGGAGGUUGCAUUUGAAUCAGGAUUCAGGAUCCUGAGCCAACUCCCGAGACACGUCGGACCCUGCGGAUUUGGCAAAAUAUGUUCUAUUCACACUGGCUGUGAUGUUUGACUGACUCAUCUGGGUUUGCAAUUGAACCAGUGAGUAAAUAAAUGAGGGGGAAGUCAGUACUCACCAUAACAAGA
Sebastes umbrosus (honeycomb rockfish) is the source of this 568-nucleotide long non-coding RNA. RefSeq lists it as uncharacterized. The transcript is spliced from 2 exons. NCBI's taxonomy places the organism in Eukaryota, Metazoa, Chordata, Actinopteri, Perciformes, Sebastidae. The record is from RefSeq and is a predicted model, not a curated record.